Molecule: long non-coding RNA, 4500 nt
Filed under: Oncorhynchus kisutch (coho salmon)
Lineage: Eukaryota; Metazoa; Chordata; Actinopteri; Salmoniformes; Salmonidae
Description: lncRNA (ENSOKIG00005005586.1)
Source: RNAcentral
CCCUAUCAGCUACAGACAACUACCACCAGACUAUACUUGACCCUAUCAGCUACAGACAACUAUACCAGACUACACCUAACCCGAUCAGCUACAGACAACUACCACCAGACUAUACUUGACCCUAUCAGCUACAGACAACUAUACCAGACUACACCUAACCCUAUCAGCUACAGACAACUAUACCAGACUACACCUAACCCUAUCAGCUACAGACAACUAUACCAGACUACACCUAACCCGAUCAGCUACAGACAACUAUACCAGACUACCCCUAACCCUAUCAGCUACAGACAACUAUACCAGACUACACCUAACCCUAUCAGCUACAGACAACUAUACCAGACUACACCUAACCCUAUCAGCUACAGACAACUAUACCAGACUACACCUAACCCUAUCAGCUACAGACAACUAUACCAGACUACACCUAACCCUAUCAGCUACAGACAACUAUACCAGACUACACCUAACCCGAUCAGCUACAGACAACUAUACCAGACUACACCUAACCCUAUCAGCUACAGACAACUAUACCAGACUACACCUAACCCUAUCAGCUACAGACAACUAUACCAGACUACCCCUAACCCUAUCAGCUACAGACAACUAUACCAGACUACAACUAACCCUAUCCCUAACCCUAUUAGCUACAGACAACUAUACCAGACUACACCUAACCCUAACCUAACCUAACCCUAACCUUAACCUCAACCAUUCAUUAGCCCUAACAGUAUACUAAACCCCAACCCUAACCCUAUCCUUCCACCAACUAACGAAUGGAUGGGCCCACUCUCAAGAGGACUAUACCUAAAACCUGCCCAAGGAAUCACUCAGCCAGCAACGGGUGGAACAACCGCUACGACAAGGAAUGGAAUCACCACAAUUUCUCCUAAAAAAAACUCUGCAUUUCGUGCAUGCACCCCUCAAUGCUCAUGUCCUGCAAGCGAAGUGCCCUACCUGGUCUCCGAUCUGCUACAUGUUCUAGAAACGUUUAGAACGACCCUGUGGAUUACGAAACCAAAACCUAACUCUAAACCUAAACCUAUUCCGCAACACUCGAUCUGCUUGACCCUCACCAUUAUGCCGUUGAUUGCAACGAACCACCUCUAGCAAUCUAGGCCGGUCCGUCGCUCCUAACACUGGGCUCACCCUACAGCAUUGAAGGUAGUAUCCAACUGCCUGUGGGACACAAAUGGAUGCUCGCCACCUCUCCUCCCUCUCUCCCCAUCUUUGGGACCAUGGAACGCGAGCCUGCACCCCGCUGUCUGUAGGAGCUAGAGGCAGAGUACACCUCUGAAUAAUGCCCAGGAUAAGACUCCUUUAAAAAGGAGAUGGUGCCCUAUGCAAUCAGAAUUUUCUUAGCCAGACCCUCUCACCUCAGUGUAUCACGACCUGGCCAACAACACACCUUCACUCCCAGCAAGCUUCCUCGCAACUGUCUGCCUGCCCCUUAGUCAAGGAUAGCUACUGUGGGUUUAGCCAAGAAUGGCCUGGAGGAACCUGGUGGCUACAAUGGAGUGUUGGUGAAAUAGGCUUGUGGUGGUUCGGUGCGGCGGUUCACAGCUAGGGCCUUCAGACCACGGGACAGUCCUGUGUGUGGGUGGGCAGCGACAUGGGCCCGACACACCCGAACUUACAGGGUUCGCGCCCUUGGCCCUGUCCCAUUCACGCUGGGCUCCCCUAAAUUCACUUGGCAGGAUCGACUCUGCUAUAGGGAGCCUCAGACCAGAACCUUGGAAGCCAUUACAGAUACCCAAGAUGGAACGACAGUCCCAAACAGGAGUCACCACCUCUUGAGGAUCGCCUCUUCGGUAAUUCUGGUCUAACCUUAAUCCCAAACCCUAACCCCUAGCUUCAUUAAAAUGGUACCCGCAAAACACCUGUCACAACGUCAACAGUGAAGAGGCGACUCCGGGAUGCUGGCCUUCUAGGCAGAGUUGCAAAGAAAAGGCCAUAUCUCAGACUGGUCAAAUAAAAUAAAAGAUUAAGAUUAAGAUGGGCAAAAGAACACAAACACUGGACAGAGGAACUCUGCCUAGAAGGCCAGCAUCCCGGGAGUAGGCUUUUUUAACCUUUAUUUAACCAGGCAAGUCAGUUAAGAACAAAUUCUUAUUUUCAAUGACAGCCUAGGAACAAUGGGUUAACUGCCUGUCCAGGGGCAGAAUGACAGAUUUGUACCUUGUCAGCUCGGGUAUUUGAACUUGCAACCUUCCGGUUACUAGCCCAACCCUCUAACCACUAGGCUACCCUGCCGCCCCAACCCUGUUGACGUUGAGACUGGUGUUUUGCGGGUACUAUUUAAUGAAGCUGCCAGUUGAGGACUUGUGAGGCGUCUGUUUCUCAAACUAGACACUCUAAUGUACUGAUCCUCUUGCUCAGUUGUGCACCGAGGCCUCCCACUCCUCUUUCUAUUCUGGUUAGAUCCCGUUUGCAUUGUUCUGUGAAAGGAGUAGUACACAGCGUUUUAUGAGAUCUUCAGUUUCUUGGCAAUUUCUCGCAUGGAAUAGCCUUAAUUUCUCAGAACAAGAAUAAACUGACGAGUUUCAGAAGAAAGUCCUUUGUUUCUGGACAUUUUGAGCCUGCUCCGGCUCGGGACGUGGACCCCACUCCAUAAAUGUCAUAGUUCCUCCCCUUCGCGUCCUGGGAUAAUCCACCCUCGCCGCCGACCAUGGCCUAAUAGUCCUCACCCAGAACCCCACAGAACUGAGGAGCAGCUCGUGACUGAGGGGCAUCUCGGGACUGAGGGACAGCUCGGGACUGAGGGGCAGCUCGGGACUGAGGCAGCUCGGGACUGAGGGGCAGCUCGGGACUGAGGGGCAGCCCGGAACUGAGGGGCAGCCCGGAACUGAGGGGCAGCCCGGAACUGAGGGGAAGCCCGGAACUGAGGGGAAGCCCGGAACUGAGGGGAAGCCCAGUACUGAGAGGAAGCCCAGUACUGAGAGGAAGCCCAGUACUGAGAGGAAGCCCAGUACUGAGAUGAAGCUCAGGUAGGUAGUAGGCUCCGGUAGAUCCUGGCUGGCUGGCGGAUCAGGAAAAUUCAGGUUGACUAGCAGAUCUGGAAGAUUCUGGUUGACUAGCAGAUCUGGAAGAUUCUGGUUGACAGGUUGAUCUGGAAGAAUCUGGUUGACUGGCAGAUCUAGAAGAUCAUGGCUGACUGGCGGAUCUAGCUGCUCUAUGCAGACUGACAGCUCUGACUGCUCCAUGCAGGCUGACAGCUCCUUGCAGGCUGACAGCUCUUUGCAGACUGGCAGCUCUGGCUGCUUCAUGCAGACUGACAGCUCUGACUGCUCCAUGCAGGCAGGAGGCUCCGGCAGCGCUGUAGAGAAGGAAGGCUCUGAUAGCGCUGAACAGGCGGGAGACUCCGACAGCGCAGGAGGGAAGGAAGGCUCUGAUAGCGCUGAACAGACAGGAGACUCCGGUAGCGCAGGAGAGGAGAAAGGCUCCACAGCGCUGGAGAGGCGGGAGACUCCGACAGCGCAGGAGAGGCGAGGCGCACUGUAGGCCUGAUGCGUGGUGCUGGCACUGGUGAUACUGGAGCGAGGACACGCACAGGAAGCCUGGUGCGGGGAGCUGCUACCGGAGGACUGGAGUGUGGAGGUGGCACAGGAUGUGCAAGGCUAGGGAUGUGCACAGGAGGCCUGGUGCGUGAGGCUGGCACCAACUUCACCAGCCGACUAACACGCACCUCAGGACGAGUAUGGAGCGCUAACUCAGGUGCCAUCAAAUCCCCGACACGAUCCGUCGGACGAAUAUGGUAUCUAUAGCACCAAGCUAGCAACUCCCUCAUUACUCUCCACUCCACUUUCCCCAUUAACUCCUUCACAGUCUCUGCUUCGCUCACCUCUAACACCGGCUCUGGUUCUGGUCUCCUCCUUGGCUCCUCACGAUAAACAAGGAGAGUUGGCUCAGGUCCAUCUCCUGACUCAGCCACUCUCCCUCUGAGCCCCCCCCAAUACAUUUUUUGGGGUGACUCUCGGGUUUCGCUCUGCGCCGCCGUGUCUGUUUCUCCAACUCCAUUCGCCUAUAGCCUUCUUCGCACUGCUCUAGCGAAUCCCAUGCGGGCUCAGGCACUCUCUCUGGGUCGGCCGCCCACCUGUCGAUUUCUUCCCACGUCGUAUACUCCAUGCCAUUGCUGUCCAUAACGUCCUCCUUUCGCUGCUCCUGCUGUUGCUGCCUGUUACCACGCUGCUCGGUCCGUGUGUGGUGGGUGAUUCUGUAACGGCGUUCUUCGUUUGUUGAAAGAGAGGACCGAAAUGCAGCGUGGUGGUUAAUCAUGAUCUUUAAUGAAACAAAUGACGGAACGAUACAUGAACUAACUAAUAAAUACAAAAACAACAAACGGAACGUGAAACCUAAUUACAGCCUAUCUGGUGAAACUACACAGAGACAGGAACAAUCACCCACGAAAUACAGAGUGAAACUCAGGCUACCUAAAUACGGUUCCCCAUCAGAGAAAACAAGAAUCACCUGACUCUGAUCGAGAACCGCCUCAGGCAGCCA